RNAcentral lists this unclassified non-coding RNA (957 nucleotides) under Hevea brasiliensis (rubber tree). Lineage: Eukaryota; Viridiplantae; Streptophyta; Magnoliopsida; Malpighiales; Euphorbiaceae. The record is from RNAcentral.
CAUGGGUGAAAACGAGUCUUGCACCGGGCUCUGGAGUUGUGACAAAAUACUUGCUGAAGAGUGGACUGCAGCCAUAUCUAAACCAGCAGGGCUUCCAUAUAGUUGGCUAUGGUUGUACAACAUGUAUUGGGAAUUCUGGGGAUUUGGAUGAAUCAGUAUCUGCUGCUAUUUCUGAGAACGAUAUUGUUGCAGCUGCUGUGCUCUCUGGGAACCGAAAUUUUGAGGGUCGUGUCCAUCCACUGACCAGAGCAAACUACCUUGCUUCACCUCCCUUGGUUGUAGCUUAUGCCUUAGCUGGCACGGUUGAUAUCGACUUUGAGAAGGAUCCAAUUGGAAAAGGGAAGGAUGGAAAGGAUGUCUAUUUCAGAGAUAUCUGGCCUUCUACCGAAGAAAUAGCCGAGGUUGUUCAAUCUAGUGUAUUGCCCGACAUGUUCAGAAGUACUUAUGAAUCAAUUACAAAAGGAAACCCGAUGUGGAACCAACUUUCAGUACCUGAAGGCACCCUGUACUCAUGGGACCCCAAUUCCACCUAUAUUCAUGAACCACCCUACUUCAAGAAUAUGACCAUGGACCCUCCAGGACCACAUGGCGUUAAGGAUGCUUACUGCCUAUUGAACUUUGGAGAUAGUAUCACUACAGAUCACAUUUCCCCUGCAGGAAGCAUCCACAAGGACAGCCCAGCGGCGAAAUACCUUCUUGAGCGUGGAGUGGAUCGCAAGGAUUUCAAUUCAUAUGGAAGUAGGCGUGGCAAUGAUGAGGUGAUGGCAAGGGGUACUUUUGCCAACAUCCGCCUUGUUAACAAGCUUUUAAAUGGCGAAGUGGGCCCCAAGACCGUUCAUGUUCCCACCGGAGAGAAACUUUACGUCUUUGAAGCAGCACAAAGAUACAAGUCAGCUGGUCAAGACACCAUUGUGCUGGCUGGGGCUGAGUAUGGAAGUGGAAGCUCUCGGGAUUGGG